Molecule: ribosomal RNA, 660 nt
Filed under: Dietzia sp.
Lineage: Bacteria; Bacillati; Actinomycetota; Actinomycetes; Mycobacteriales; Dietziaceae
Description: bacterial SSU rRNA
Rfam family: Bacterial small subunit ribosomal RNA
Source: RNAcentral
UCCUACCGGGAGGCAGCAGUGGGGAAUAUUGCACAAUGGGCGAAAGCCUGAUGCAGCGACGCCGCGUGGGGGAUGACGGUCUUCGGAUUGUAAACCCCUUUCAGUAGGGACGAAGCGCAAGUGACGGUACCUGCAGAAGAAGCACCGGCUAACUACGUGCCAGCAGCCGCGGUAAUACGUAGGGUGCGAGCGUUGUCCGGAAUUACUGGGCGUAAAGAGCUCGUAGGCGGUUUGUCACGUCGUCUGUGAAAUCCCUCGGCUUAACCGGGGGCGUGCAGGCGAUACGGGCAGACUUGAGUACUACAGGGGAGACUGGAAUUCCUGGUGUAGCGGUGAAAUGCGCAGAUAUCAGGAGGAACACCGGUGGCGAAGGCGGGUCUCUGGGUAGUAACUGACGCUGAGGAGCGAAAGCAUGGGUAGCGAACAGGAUUAGAUACCCUGGUAGUCCAUGCCGUAAACGGUGGGCGCUAGGUGUGGGGUCCUUCCACGGACUCCGUGCCGUAGCUAACGCAUUAAGCGCCCCGCCUGGGGAGUACGGCCGCAAGGCUAAAACUCAAAGGAAUUGACGGGGGCCCGCACAAGCGGCGGAGCAUGUGGAUUAAUUCGAUGCAACGCGAAGAACCUUACCUAGGCUUGACAUAUACAGGACGACGGCAGAGA